Molecule: ribosomal RNA, 254 nt
Filed under: uncultured bacterium
Lineage: Bacteria
Description: partial 16S ribosomal RNA
Rfam family: Bacterial small subunit ribosomal RNA
Source: RNAcentral
UUGGACCUACGGGGGGCAGCAGUAGGGAAUCUUCCACAAUGGGCGAAAGCCUGAUGGAGCAACGCCGCGUGGGUGAAGAAGGUCUUCGGAUCGUAAGACCCUGUUGUUAGAGAAGAAAGUGCGUGAGAGUAACUGUUCACGUUUCGACGGUAUCUAACAAGAAAGCCACGGCUAACUACGUGCCAGCAGCCGCGGUAAUACGUAGGUGGCAAGCGUCAUCCGGAUUUAUUGGGCGUAAAGGGAACGCAGGCGGU